Molecule: long non-coding RNA, 3916 nt
Filed under: Zostera marina
Lineage: Eukaryota; Viridiplantae; Streptophyta; Magnoliopsida; Alismatales; Zosteraceae
Description: long non-coding RNA (ZMAR_LNC005832)
Source: RNAcentral
GGGGAAUCCAUGAUAAUAGUGAUGAAAUAACUUAAACAACAUUUGAGAAACAGUGAUGUGUAAAUCAUGAGAUCUUGUGAUUGCAUCCCAAAACAGAUUAAGAUAAUUCAUAAAUGUAAGCAAAUCAAAUGUAAUUUUUCUUUUGAGGAACUCCAAAAAAUGCAGAAGAAAAUCAUCAACAAAAAAAACAAAAGACUACCUCUCUGCAAUAACUUUAAGAAGCACAUCUGUGGAAUAAAGAUCCUUAACAACAAACUCCUCCAAACAGCCAGCACUCCGAUCAAAAGAAGAUAAUCCGAUAUUCUUCAAAUUGCAUCCCGGAAAUAAAUCCCCCCUUAAAUGCAAACGUCGCCAUAGUCGAGGUUCCUGUGCAAGUUUCCGCCAUUGUCGGCAAACAGACUGUACCGACACGAAUAAACACACUGUAUCGAUCCUAUCGAAUAUCUCCCGAAGAACAUCCCACGACAGAUCCGCCCAAUCCCGAAAGUCCGGAUCAUCCAUCCCUAAGUUUGAAAAAGAGCUUCUAGUUCAAAUAAAAAGAAACAGACGUAUUAAUAAACCUCAACGUCGUUCAGAUGAUGAAGUUGAAUAUGCAAACCGGAGAGCAGCAGAUUCCGACGAGUUUCCAGUGUUCACUGAAAGAGGCUCGGAAAGCAGCAGAUCGACAACGACUUAGGGUUUUAGCAGUAAUUGAUUAAAAAAUUUCAAUUUUUUAAUGUGUUUUUACAUUCAACUCCUUUUAGUUUUCAGUAUUAUGGAAAAUAGUACCAAUCUCUUUUAAACUUUAGAGAUACCUUCGUCCUUCAUGAUUAGAAGAAUCUUUGUUAGAAUCAUGGAAAAGAGAAUCUUGAUAAGAAUCAUCACUCAAUUAAUGUAUUUUUUAUUUAAAAAGAAAAAUAACGAUAAUUAUUAAUUAACAUUCAAAAAAUAUUAAACAUAAAACUAGCAAAAAAUAAAGAUGCGAUUAAAAUGAUAUAUGAAUCAAUAGAGUUCGAAGAUGGUUAAAUUUUUUGAAAAAACCCUAAUUUUCCGAGAAUUUAACUCGGCAAAUCAGUAAAAUAGGAAACAACAGAGAGAGAUUAACUCAACUAAUCAUAAAACGACCGUUAUUAUUACGGUUUCUGAGAGUUUCGAAUCUGUUUUGAUUGAUAUUGAUUGUAUUCUUUGACAAAUAUCAACAGAGCUCAAUAUUGUUAUAAUAGCCAUCAUUAGGAGGAAAAAAAAAAUCAGAAUUUGAAUAUGCAUAAUAAUCAGAAUCGGAAUAAUGAUUAUUAUGAUUAGAAUAAUCAGCAUCAUCUGAAAUCCCAUGUCUGUUGUAAUCAGCAUCAUAAUCAACAUACAUAUUGAUCAGAUAGUUGUAAUAUUUCACCUGAACUUUGUCCAAUUUACUUUUCAGAUUUUCUCCAAUCAUACGAUGGCGACAAUUCUGGAUAUAAAUAAUUUCAAGACCGGGACAUUGAUCAAGAAUUUCAAGCAAGCCUUUAUCACUGAGCUGAACCUCAACCAUUUUUAAUUUUUGCAUAUCAUACAUGGAAUAGGCUAUGUAAAAUGCCUGAGAGUUGUUAGCUCGACCUCUUAAUCGACCAUUACGAUAACCGAAAGCUUUCAAAUUUUCGCAUGCAUCACCGAUAGUUUCAAUUGAAUAGCGAUUUAAGUAUAAACUACAUUCUGAGACAUCAAGAACUUCCAAUGCUAGAAAUGCAUUACAAGCUUCAGAAAAAUCAUUCUCACUCAUAUUUCCACAAUAACUUUCAAGAACAAGUACUUUCAGCUCUGGAACUUCAUAUUGUUAAACGAUGGACACGCGAAAUCCGGCGACCUUGGCUCGCCGGACGGGGAACAAUCAGACUAAAAGAGGGAUGGAAUCAGAGUUACUCGAACUACCUAAUUCCUUUUCCGUUAACACUGUAGUAAAGCAAUUAGUGUUAACUGUAUCAUUAACUCUGUAAAUUGUAUUAUUAAAUCAAACUUAUACUUCUGUAUUAAUAGUCAUGUUUACAUUAACUAAUUAGUAGCUAAUACAACAUUAACUAAACUAACUAUAUUAACUGGAUCUUUAAUUGGGUAGCCGUCCGGAUCCGUUAGCCCGAUCCCUCUUAUUUAAUGGAUAGAAUUGCAGUUAAGUCCUCGUACUCUUUUGUAAUUCUCGAGUGUUUUUAAGUGGUUAAAGUUGCACUCUUGCCCUCGUACUUUUUCAUAUUUACCGAUUACCUUUAAGUGGUGAAUUUUGCCUCUUUGACCUUGCAGUUUCUUCUCUUAGUCAAAAUGUCACAACCUUAUGUUCUGUUUAAAUACACAUAGAUUCAGUUCAGUAAGUGUUUGAUUUAAUCAUCUUCAGAUUACUCUUUUAAUCCAGUAAUCUUCUGAUCACUCUUUUACAUACCACCUGUGAUGAAAGUAAAAUAACUUAAACAACAUUUGAAAAACAGUGAUGUGUAAAUCAUGAGAUCUUGUGAUUGCAACACAAAACAGAUUAAGAUAAUUCAUAAAUGUAAGCAAAUCAAAUGUAGUUUUUAUUUUGAGGAAAUCCGAAAAAUGCAGAAAAUCAUCAGCAAACAAAAAAAAAUACCUCAGUGGUGCCAUAACUUUAAAAAGAGCAUCUGUGGAAUCAAAAUCCUUAGCAACAAACUCCUCCAAACAACCAACACUCCGAUCAAAAGCAGCUAAUCCAAUAUUCUUCGAAUUGCAGCCUGGAAACAAAUCCCCCCUUAAAUGCAGACGUCGCCAUAGCUGAGGUUCCUGUGCGAGUUUGCGCAAUUCUCGGCAAACAGACUCUCUAUUGGAAUUAUAGAACAUCGUCGUCAUCAGAAUCUCCAUAGACCUCACUGCCAUCAUUAGAAUAUACAUAGACCUCACUGCCAUCAUCAGAAUCUUCAUAGGGCUCAUUGCCAUCAUCAUAAUAAUUAGAAUAAUCAGAAUAAACAGAACCAGAAUUUGAAUAAUAAGAAUCAGAAUAAUCAGCAUCAUCUGAAACUCCAUGUCUGUUGUAAUCAGCAUCAUAAUCAACAUACAUGCUGAGCAAAUAGUUGUAAUAUUUCACCUGAACUGUGUCCAAUUUAGUUUUCAGAUAUUCUCCAAUCAUAAGGUGGGGACAAUUCCGGAUAUAAAUGAUUUUAAGGUUGGGGCAUUGAUCAAGAAUUUCAAGCAAGCCUUCAUCAUCGAGCUGAUCUCCAACCAUUUUUAAUUUUUGCAGAUCAUGCAUGUCGGCUAUGAAAGAUGCAGAAGAGUUGUCUGCUGGACCUCUCACCUGACUACUACAAAAACUGAAAGCUUUCAAAUUUUGACAUGUAUCCCGGAUAGUUUCAAUUGAAUAACAAUCCAAGCUCAAGCUGCAUUCUGAGACAUCAAGAACUUCCAAUGUUGGAAAUGAAUUACAAGCUUCAAUUAAAUCAAUCUCAGCGAUAUCAUCAUCUCCACAAUAACCUUCAAGAACAAGUACUUUCAGCUCUGCAGCUUCAGACCUCCUGAGGGGGGGGGGGAAUCCAUGAUAAUAGUGAUGAAAUAACUUAAACAACAUUUGAAAAACAGUGUUGUGUAAAUCAUGAGAUCUUGCAAAAAAAAUGUAAUUUUUCUUUUGAGCAGAAAAUCAUCAACAAAAAAAAACACAAAAGACUACCUCUCUGCAAUAACUUUAAGAAGCACAUCUGUGGAAUAAAGAUCCUUAGCAACAAACUCCUCCAAACAGCCAGCACUCCGAUCAAAAGAAGAUAAUCCGAUAUUCUUCAAAUUGCAUCCCAGAAAUAAAUCCCCCCUUAAAUGCAAACGUCGCCAUAGUCGAGGUUCCUGUGCAAGUUUCCGCCAUUGUCGGCAAACAGACUGUACCGACACGAAUAAAGAAACUGUAUCGAUCCUAUCGAAUAUCUGACGAAGAACAUCCCACGACAGAUCCGCCCAAUCCCGAAAGUCCGGAUGAUCC